UUGACCCGUCACUCGGAUGGACGAUCGGAGACCACGGAUGCGUAGGGCUCGUCGAAACGAUUCCGUUUGACUACUCACAUGUUAUCUUCGGACUUCGGAACAUGAAGCUGCGAAUUGGACGCUUGAGAUUCAAAGAGAAAAAAAAAAACAGAGACCAUCCUUUUCUUCUUAACCCUAGAGUUCUGCUCUCUCCCUCCCCACAGCAGCAGCCACACCACCUUUUUCUAUACUGCAUGUAGAAGGAAGAAAGAGAAGGGAAAAGAAGAAAGAAGGGGGAGGAGAUCAGCAGGAGGAAGAAGGGGGCCGGUGCCCCUCUCACCCAGCAGCAAGGGAGGAGGAGAAAGGGAGAAGGGAAGAAGAAGGGAAGGAGAAGGAGGAGAAGAAAGAGGAAAAUCCUGAGCUCUUGUCAAGUUGCUCGUGGUUGCCCUAGGUGGUGGUGCUCCUGAUCGUGUUUGAAGGUUGUCGGUUGUAUCAAAAAAAGGCAAGUAAACGUAGAGGUGCUUGAUGCUUGCUUGCUUGGACGGGAUGGGAGUAGCAGCACUUCUACAUGUUAUAAUCACACAUAUUAAUGCAGUAGUGGUGUUGUAAUAAUAAUGCAAGUGUUGGAGUUGUUUAGCUCUUAGUGUUGCUUAGCGUUGGUAAACUUGUUUUAGUUUGUUUUGUUGGAGGUCAAAAAUUUAAUGCCUUAA
Phragmites australis (common reed) is the source of this 689-nucleotide long non-coding RNA. RefSeq lists it as uncharacterized. The transcript has 2 exons. The record is from RefSeq and is a predicted model, not a curated record. NCBI's taxonomy places the organism in Eukaryota, Viridiplantae, Streptophyta, Magnoliopsida, Poales, Poaceae.